RNAcentral lists this ribosomal RNA (468 nucleotides) under uncultured bacterium. RNAcentral's name for it is "partial 16S ribosomal RNA". It matches the Rfam family "Bacterial small subunit ribosomal RNA", at positions 28 to 507 of the family's 1533-position model. The record is from RNAcentral.
GACGAACGCUGGCGGCGUGCUUAACACAUGCAAGUCGAACGGAAAGGCCCUGCUUUUGUGGGGUGCUCGAGUGGCGAACGGGUGAGUAACACGUGAGUAACCUGCCCUUGACUUUGGGAUAACUUCAGGCAACUGGGGCUAAUCCCGGAUAGGAGCUCCUGCUUCAUGGUGGGGGUUGGAAAGUUUCGGCGGUUGGGGGUGGACUCGCGGCUUAUCAGCUUGUUGGUGGGGUAGUGUCUUACCCUGGCUUUGACGGGUGGCCGGGCUGAGAGGGUGACCGGCCACAUUGGAACUGAGAUACGGCCCAGACUACUACGGGAGGCAGCAGUGGGGAAUAUUGCACAAUGGGCGGAAGCCUGAUGCAGCAACGCCGCGUGCGGGAUGACGGCCUUCGGGUUGUAAACCGCUUUCGCCUGUGACGAAGCGUGAGUGACGGUAAUGGGUAAAGAAGCACCGGCUAACUACGUG